UUUAUUGUUUUACACCUGGAGUGAAAAAUAUACAAAAUAAAUUGGCAUUAUGUUUUUAUGUUGUGCUGUUACACCACUGUCUCAGAUUAUAGGAAGAUUAAGCGCUCACAAACAUGUUAAACCCAGUCAAAUAUUUUAUGUGCCUGUAGUAUAGUGGUUGUCGUUAAUUUAUGUCUUGAAUAUUUGUUGUUCAGAUUGUUUUGUUUUGAAGUUAUUUUUUAGUUGUAUAAUAAUUAUUUUAUAUGUUACAUGUCGUGACCUUUAAUUGCUCAAUGAUUCCUUGUUGAAGGACGUUAAGUUCCCUAUGGAUAUAAGAAAAUGUGGUUUGAGUGCCAAUGAGACAAUUCUUCAUCCAAGUCUCAGUUUAUAAAAGAAACCCACUAUAGGUCAAAAUACGGUCUUUAAUACGGAUCCGUGGCUCACACCGAACAACAAGCUGUAAAAGGUCCAUUAAAACGGACAACUAUUAGAGAAGCUAAAAAAUUGGACGUCGAUUAGAGGAGCCAAGGAGCCAAAAAUUGGACCUCAAUUAGAGGGUGAUUGAAUUGGCCGCCGAUUUGAAAUAUUAUUUUAUUGUGACGUCAGCUUUGGACCUCGAUUUGCGGAACAACCGUCGGAAAAAGACUGAUGGUAGAUAAACAGAGUGGUGAUAUGUGUACAGAGUGAUGAAAGAUAUACAAAGUGGUGGUAGAUACACAGAGUGGUGAAUUACAUAUAAAGAUUCCCUCAAAAGCAGAACACCAUAUCCUGAACACUUGAAAACCAUGACACCAUUCAAAGAACCAAUGAAAAAACAAAAGAAACAACCAGACCCUAGCAACUGCAAGCUACUCCAAAGAGAAACUAUGUUAGUAAUAGAUAAGAAACGCAGCGCUCUGACCUCAAUGUAUUUCUGAAAUGGUCAUUUGAUAUUUGCUUAGUCUUCAAAAAAAAAAUCAAGAUGAACAUUAAUGUUCAGCUAUGAAACUUUAAAUGCAGAUGACAAACUUUAAUUUAGUUUCAAGUACAAAUGUACUGUUAUUCUCCAAUUUGACAAUCAAGAUGUAUUGAAAACAGUAAAAUAUUUAGGGAAGUUGUUAAAUUACAAAACUGAAAUUUCAGUUUUAUCAUUUAAACAAGUGUAUCACCAAAAACUGCAUGAAUUGUUUUGAAAAUUUCAACCACCCGAAAGCACUAACAAUGCAAACAAGACAAUGUUUAAAAAUGUUUUAUAAAUAUCUGUUGAUCAUUUGAUCCAAGGACCUUAAACUGUUUUACAACAUAAUAAACCUCAUCCUAAGUUAUUUCAACUAUCACCCUUUCUGCAUUGAUCAAUUUGAUAAAGAAAUUAAAUAAAUGGGCGUUCCACUCUGGGUUAAUCUCCAACCUCUUUUUUAGCUUCAAAUGUUGUUGCAUAUAUAAGUAUGGAGAUUUGUCACAUUGGCACUCAUACCAC
Molecule: long non-coding RNA, 1435 nt
Organism: Mytilus trossulus (common blue mussel)
Lineage: Eukaryota; Metazoa; Mollusca; Bivalvia; Mytilida; Mytilidae
Exons: 3
Source: RefSeq, a predicted model, not a curated record